This 146-nucleotide small nuclear RNA is filed under the name Panthera leo (lion). RNAcentral describes it as "U2 spliceosomal RNA (ENSPLOG00000014359.1)". It matches the Rfam family "U2 spliceosomal RNA". From Rfam's summary of the family: U2 is a small nuclear RNA (snRNA) component of the spliceosome (involved in pre-mRNA splicing). The record is from RNAcentral. Lineage: Eukaryota; Metazoa; Chordata; Mammalia; Carnivora; Felidae.
AUUGCUUCUCGGCCUUUUGGCUAAGAUCAAGUGUAGCUCUUGCUUUGCGGUAACUGCUGAAAAUUAUACACUAUGAUAUGUAUAUAUAUUUUAAUGUGUGUUAUAUAUUAUAAUGUGCCUGACUUUGUAUUAUAAUAUGAAUAUGU